This is a small nuclear RNA of Oreochromis aureus, 188 nucleotides long. Its record names the gene U2. It matches the Rfam family "U2 spliceosomal RNA". Rfam says of the family: U2 is a small nuclear RNA (snRNA) component of the spliceosome (involved in pre-mRNA splicing). NCBI's taxonomy places the organism in Eukaryota, Metazoa, Chordata, Actinopteri, Cichliformes, Cichlidae. The record is from Ensembl.
AUCGCUUCUCGGCCUUUUGGCUAAGAUCAAGUGUAGUAUCUGUUCUUAUCAGUUUAAUAUCUGAUACGCCCCGAUUCGGGGCAACGAUAAACGCAUUUUUAGAACAGGGAGCUGAAUAAGGGGCUCGCUCCGUUCGCUCCCACGCAUCGACCGGUAUUGCAGCGCCGCCCGGGAACGGUGCCCCUUUG